UUAAAAAGCUCGUAGUUGGAUUUCGGAAUGGGCCAGUUGGUCCGCCGCAAGGUGAGUUACUGACUGGUCUGUUCUUCUUCGCAAAGACUGCGUGUGCGCUUUAUUGCGUGUACGUAGGAUUUACGACGUUUACUUUGAAAAAAUUAGAGUGUUCAAAGCAGGCUAUCGCUUGAAUACAUGAGCAUGGAAUAAUGGAGUAGGACUUUGGUCUUAUUUUGUUGGUUUCUGAGACCGAAGUAAUGAUUAAGAGGGACAAUUGGGGGCAUCCGUAUUUCGUUGUCAGAGGUGAAAUUCUUGGAUUUACGAAAGACGAACAACUGCGAAAGCAUUUGCCAAGAGUGUUUUCAUUAAUCAAGAACGAAAGUUAGGGGAUCGAAGACGAUCAGAUACCGUCCUAGUUCUAACCAUAAACGAUGUCGACUAGGGAUCAGCGAGUGUUAUUUUACGACCUCGUUGGCACCUUACGGGAAACCAAAGUUUUUGGAUUCCGGGGGAAGUAUAGUUGCAAAGCCGAAACUUAAAGGAAUUGACGGAAGGGCACCACCAGGAGUGGAGCCUGCGGCUUAAUUUGACUCAACA
Molecule: ribosomal RNA, 579 nt
Filed under: uncultured marine eukaryote
Lineage: Eukaryota
Description: SSU rRNA
Rfam family: Eukaryotic small subunit ribosomal RNA
Source: RNAcentral